RNAcentral lists this non-coding RNA (148 nucleotides) under Nomascus leucogenys (northern white-cheeked gibbon). The record is from Rfam by way of RNAcentral. Lineage: Eukaryota; Metazoa; Chordata; Mammalia; Primates; Hylobatidae.
GCUGGGUGUGGUGGUGCAUGCCUGUAGUCCCAGCUAUUCAGGAAGCUGACAUGGGAGGAUCACUUGAGCCCAGGAGUUUGAGGCUGCAGUGAGCUAUGAAUGCACCACUGUACUCCAGCCUGGGAAACAGAGUGAGACCCUAUCUCUU